Long non-coding RNA from Mustela lutreola (European mink), 266 nucleotides. RefSeq lists it as uncharacterized. The transcript has 3 exons. NCBI's taxonomy places the organism in Eukaryota, Metazoa, Chordata, Mammalia, Carnivora, Mustelidae. The record is from RefSeq and is a predicted model, not a curated record.
CCUACCUGGCCCACUGCUUUAGCUGCUCACUGGUGACCUGGCCUCCAAGACCUUUCCAAACAUCUGCUACAUCUUUUCUCAGAUCACAGUGUGUAUUGCGGUCACUGCUGGACUCCAGAAUUGCUGAAAUGCUGAUAUGGUGCUGUGCUCAUUCCUCUUCCCCAUUAACUGUGCUCUCUGAGUAUCUCUAGCUCAAAGGAGGACAUGGAGGAAUCUCUUAAUGGAAGCAUGUCAAGCAGUGCCACAGCCCAUUUGGAAUUUAAAAU